This 392-nucleotide ribosomal RNA is filed under the name uncultured bacterium. Its description in RNAcentral is "partial 16S ribosomal RNA". It matches the Rfam family "Bacterial small subunit ribosomal RNA", at positions 523 to 918 of the family's 1533-position model. The record is from RNAcentral.
AUACGGAGGAUCCGAGCGUUAUCCGGAUUUAUUGGGUUUAAAGGGUGCGCAGGCGGCCAUUUAAGUCAGCGGUUAAAUCGUGGGGCUCAACCCCAUUCUGCCGUUGAUACUGGGUGGCUUGAUUGCGGUCGAGGUUGGCGGAAUUCGUUGUGUAGCGGUGAAAUGCAUAGAUAUGACGAAGAACACCGAUUGCGUAGGCAGCUGACCAGACCGCAAAUGACGCUCAUGCACGAAAGUGCGGGGAUCGAACAGGAUUAGAUACCCUGGUAGUCCGCACAGUAAACGAUGAAUACUUGUUUUCGGCGAUAUAAUGUCGGAGGCAAAGCGAAAGCGAUAAGUAUUCCACCUGGGGAGUACGCCGGCAACGGUGAAACUCAAAGGAAUCGACGGGG